RNAcentral lists this ribosomal RNA (393 nucleotides) under uncultured bacterium. RNAcentral describes it as "partial 16S ribosomal RNA". It matches the Rfam family "Bacterial small subunit ribosomal RNA", at positions 523 to 918 of the family's 1533-position model. The record is from RNAcentral.
AUACGGAGGAUCCGAGCGUUAUCCGGAUUUAUUGGGUUUAAAGGGUGCGCAGGCGGGAGAUUAAGUCGGCGGUGAAAUUUUUCAGCUCAACUGUAAAAGUGCCUUCGAAACUGGUUUCCUUGAGUGUAGAUGAAGUAGGCGGAAUUUGUGGGGUAGCGGUGAAAUACAUAGAUAUCACGAGGAGCUCCGAUUGCGCAGGCAGCUUACUAAACUACUACUGACGCUCAGGCACGAAGGCGUGGGGAUCAAACAGGAUUAGAUACCCUGGUAGUCCACGCAGUAAACGAUGAUGGCUAACCGCUGGUUUAUUCGGAUCAGUGGCCAAGCGAAAGCGAUAAGCCAUCCACCUGGGGAGUACGACCGCAAGGUUGAAACUCAAAUGAAUUGACGGGG